RNAcentral lists this transfer RNA (83 nucleotides) under Rhizobium phage Pasto. Its description in RNAcentral is "tRNA-Leu". It matches the Rfam family "tRNA". From Rfam's summary of the family: Transfer RNA (tRNA) molecules are approximately 80 nucleotides in length. Their secondary structure includes four short double-helical elements and three loops (D, anti-codon, and T loops). The record is from RNAcentral. Lineage: Duplodnaviria; Heunggongvirae; Uroviricota; Caudoviricetes; Autographivirales.
GCGGGCGUGAUGGAACUGGUAGACAUACCGGACUUAAAAUCCGGAGCGAUAGCGUGCGGGUUCGAGUCCCGCCGCCCGUACCA